UACAGAGGGUGCAAGCGUUAUUCGGAAUUACUGGGCGUAAAGCGUGCGUAGUCGGUUAUUUAAGUCGGGCGUGAAAGCCCCGGGCUCAACCUGGGAAUUGCGUUCGAUACUGGAUAGCUAGAGUUCGGCAGAGGGAAGCGGAAUUUCUGGUGUAGCGGUGAAAUGCGUAGAUAUCAGAAGGAACAUCAGUGGCGAAAGCGGCUUCCUGGACCAGAACUGACGAUCAGGCACGAAAGCGUGGGGAGCAAACAGG
RNAcentral lists this ribosomal RNA (253 nucleotides) under uncultured bacterium. RNAcentral's name for it is "partial 16S ribosomal RNA". It matches the Rfam family "Bacterial small subunit ribosomal RNA", at positions 524 to 776 of the family's 1533-position model. The record is from RNAcentral.